ACGGAAGGCAGCAGUGGGGAAUCUUCCGCAAUGGGCGAAAGUCUGACGGAGCGACGCCGCGUGGAUGAUGAAGGUCGGAAGAUUGUAAAAUCCUUUUAAGCAUGAAGAAUAAGCAGGGAAGGUAAUGGCCUUGCGGUGACGGUAGUGCUUGAAUAAGCAACGGCUAAUUACGUGCCAGCAGCCGCGGUAAUACGUAAGUUGCGAGCGUUGUUCGGAAUUAUUGGGCGUAAAGGGCAUGUAGGCGGAUAUGCAAGCUUGGUGUGAAAGGCGGGAGCUCAACUCCCGGACUGCGUUGAGAACUGCAUAACUAGAGUGACUGAGGGGCAGGCAGAAUUCCAGGUGUAGGGGUGAAAUCUGUAGAUAUCUGGAAGAAUACCAAUGGCGAAGGCAGCCUGCCAGAAGAUGACUGACGCUGAGGUGCGAAGGUGAGGGGAGCAAACAGGAUUAAGAUACCCUGGUA
This 460-nucleotide ribosomal RNA is filed under the name uncultured Treponema sp. Its description in RNAcentral is "partial 16S ribosomal RNA". It matches the Rfam family "Bacterial small subunit ribosomal RNA", at positions 341 to 792 of the family's 1533-position model. The record is from RNAcentral. Lineage: Bacteria; Pseudomonadati; Spirochaetota; Spirochaetia; Treponematales; Treponemataceae.